GCACGUUUGUCGCUGUUCGUGUGUGGUUCAAUGGUGUGCGAACGCAUCAGCACGAAGUGAGCCAUGCGACGUGAAAUUCUUCCGCAUCCAUAAAGUCAACAGGUGUGUUUCCAGAAGUGCCUCAUCGAGGUAGAGCUGCGGAAAUGCGGCUGCGCCUUCUACACCCGAGAGCUCUCACCUUCCUUCACCACCAAGAUAUGCUCGCUCACGCAAAUGAAUGACUGUAUCGCUGAAACCAAGGACAGCGGCCACUAUGACCAUUGCGAGACA
Molecule: long non-coding RNA, 270 nt
Organism: Dermacentor silvarum
Lineage: Eukaryota; Metazoa; Arthropoda; Arachnida; Ixodida; Ixodidae
Exons: 3
Source: RefSeq, a predicted model, not a curated record